UUAAAUUGAAGAGUUUGAUCAUGGCUCAGAUUGAACGCUGGCGGCAGGCCUAACACAUGCAAGUCGAACGGUAACAGGAAGCAGCUUGCUGCUUCGCUGACGAGUGGCGGACGGGUGAGUAAUGUCUGGGAAACUGCCUGAUGGAGGGGGAUAACUACUGGAAACGGUAGCUAAUACCGCAUAAUGUCGCAAGACCAAAGAGGGGGACCUUCGGGCCUCUCGCCAUCGGAUGUGCCCAGAUGGGAUUAGCUUGUUGGUGGGGUAACGGCUCACCAAGGCGACGAUCCCUAGCUGGU
This 296-nucleotide ribosomal RNA is filed under the name Escherichia coli. RNAcentral's name for it is "partial 16S ribosomal RNA". It matches the Rfam family "Bacterial small subunit ribosomal RNA", at positions 1 to 291 of the family's 1533-position model. The record is from RNAcentral. Lineage: Bacteria; Pseudomonadati; Pseudomonadota; Gammaproteobacteria; Enterobacterales; Enterobacteriaceae.